UACGUAGGGUCCGAGCGUUGUCCGAAAUUAUUGGGCGUAAAGAGCGUGUAGGGCGGUUUGGUAGGUCCGUUGUGAAAACUCGAGGCUCAACCUCGAGACGCCGAUGGAAACCAUCAGACUAGAGUCCGGAAGAGGAGAGUGGAAUUCCUGGUGUAGCGGUGAAAUGCGCAGAGUAUCAGGAAGAACACCCGUGGCUAAGGCGGCUCUCUAGUACGGUACUGGACGCUGAGACGCGAAAGCGUGGGAGCGAA
RNAcentral lists this ribosomal RNA (251 nucleotides) under uncultured bacterium. RNAcentral's name for it is "partial 16S ribosomal RNA". It matches the Rfam family "Bacterial small subunit ribosomal RNA", at positions 524 to 772 of the family's 1533-position model. The record is from RNAcentral.